UGAGCUGUUGGGGGGCCCAUGGUGGCUCUGACCCCGGCCCUGCCCCUGUCCCCAGUCCUCCUGCUCCUCCCAGGAGCGCCUUCACCAGCUGCCCUACCAGCCCACGGUGGACGAGCUCCACUUCCUUUCCAAACACUUCGGGAGCACCGAGAGCAUCACAGACGAGGAUGGUGGCCGUCGCUCCCCAGCCGUGCGGCCCCGCUCACGGAGUCUCAGCCCCGGGCGCUCCCCCUCCUCCUACGACAACGAGAUCGUGAUGAUGAAUCACGUCUACAAGGAGAGGUUCCCGAAGGUGAGGUGGGACCCGAGGCGGUCGCGGGGUGACCAGCCGGCCUGCACUCUCGCUCGCCUUAUCCCCGCGCGCCCCCUGGCGGCCUCGGUGCGCAGCGCAGGCUCCUGGCGGCCA
Molecule: small RNA, 406 nt
Filed under: Pan troglodytes (chimpanzee)
Lineage: Eukaryota; Metazoa; Chordata; Mammalia; Primates; Hominidae
Description: retained intron
Source: RNAcentral